UCGAGCGGACAGAAGGGAGCUUGCUCCCGGAUGUUAGCGGCGGACGGGUGAGUAACACGUGGGUAACCUGCCUGUAAGACUGGGAUAACUCCGGGAAACCGGAGCUAAUACCGGAUAGUUCCUUGAACCGCAUGGUUCAAGGAUGAAAGACGGUUUCGGCUGUCACUUACAGAUGGACCCGCGGCGCAUUAGCUAGUUGGUGAGGUAACGGCUCACCAAGGCGACGAUGCGUAGCCGACCUGAGAGGGUGAUCGGCCACACUGGGACUGAGACACGGCCCAGACUCCUACGGGAGGCAGCAGUAGGGAAUCUUCCGCAAUGGACGAAAGUCUGACGGAGCAACGCCGCGUGAGUGAUGAAGGUUUUCGGAUCGUAAAGCUCUGUUGUUAGGGAAGAACAAGUGCAAGAGUAACUGCUUGCACCUUGACGGUACCUAACCAGAAAGCCACGGCUAACUACGUGCCAGCAGCCGCGGUAAUACGUAGGUGGCAAGCGUUGUCCGGAAUUAUUGGGCGUAAAGGGCUCGCAGGCGGUUUCUUAAGUCUGAUGUGAAAGCCCCCGGCUCAACCGGGGAGGGUCAUUGGAAACUGGGAAACUUGAGUGCAGAAGAGGAGAGUGGAAUUCCACGUGUAGCGGUGAAAUGCGUAGAGAUGUGGAGGAA
This 661-nucleotide ribosomal RNA is filed under the name Bacillus sp. R60-2. RNAcentral describes it as "bacterial SSU rRNA". It matches the Rfam family "Bacterial small subunit ribosomal RNA", at positions 62 to 706 of the family's 1533-position model. The record is from RNAcentral. Lineage: Bacteria; Bacillati; Bacillota; Bacilli; Caryophanales; Bacillaceae.